AGUGAACGCUGGCGGUAGGCCUAACACAUGCAAGUCGAACGGCAGCACAGUAAGAGCUUGCUCUUACGGGUGGUGAGUGGCGGACGGGUGAGGAAUACAUCGGAAUCUACUUUUUCGUGGGGGAUAACGUAGGGAAACUUACGCUAAUACCGCAUACGACCUACGGGUGAAAGCAGGGGAUCUUCGGACCUUGCGCGAUUGAAUGAGCCGAUGUCGGAUUAGCUAGUUGGCGGGGUAAAGGCCCACCAAGGCGACGAUCCGUAGCUGGUCUGAGAGGAUGAUCAGCCACACUGGAACUGAGACACGGUCCAGACUCCUACGGGAGGCAGCAGUGGGGAAUAUUGGACAAUGGGCGCAAGCCUGAUCCAGCCAUACCGCGUGGGUGAAGAAGGCCUUCGGGUUGUAAAGCCCUUUUGUUGGGAAAGAAAAGCAGCAGGUUAACACCCCGCUGUUCUGACGGUACCCAAAGAAUAAGCACCGGCUAACUUCGUG
This 492-nucleotide ribosomal RNA is filed under the name uncultured bacterium. RNAcentral's name for it is "partial 16S ribosomal RNA". It matches the Rfam family "Bacterial small subunit ribosomal RNA", at positions 29 to 507 of the family's 1533-position model. The record is from RNAcentral.